Molecule: ribosomal RNA, 571 nt
Filed under: Listeria monocytogenes
Lineage: Bacteria; Bacillati; Bacillota; Bacilli; Caryophanales; Listeriaceae
Description: partial 23S ribosomal RNA
Rfam family: Bacterial large subunit ribosomal RNA
Source: RNAcentral
AGUAAAUUGGUUAAGUUAGAAAGGGCGCACGGUGGAUGCCUUGGCACUAGGAGCCGAAGAAGGACGGGACUAACACCGAUAUGCUUUGGGGAGCUGUACGUAAGCGUUGAUCCAGAGAUUUCCGAAUGGGGGAACCCACUAUCUUUAGUCGGAUAGUAUCCUUACGUGAAUACAUAGCGUAAGGAAGGCAGACCCAGGGAACUGAAACAUCUAAGUACCUGGAGGAAGAGAAAGAAAAAUCGAUUUCCUGAGUAGCGGCGAGCGAAACGGAAAGAGCCCAAACCAAGAAGCUUGCUUCUUGGGGUUGUAGGACACUCUAUACGGAGUUACAAAAGAAAGUUAUAAAUGAAGCGGUCUGGAAAGGCCCGCCAAAGACGGUAACAGCCCGGUAGUUGAAAUGGCUUUCCCUCCAGAGUGGAUCCUGAGUACGGCGGAACACGUGAAAUUCCGUCGGAAUCCGGGAGGACCAUCUCCCAAGGCUAAAUACUCCCUAGUGACCGAUAGUGAACCAGUACCGUGAGGGAAAGGUGAAAAGCACCCCGGAAGGGGAGUGAAACAGUUCCUGAAACCG